AAGUCGUAACAAGGUUUCCGUAGGUGAACCUGCGGAAGGAUCAUUAACACGUAUCCAAACGUUAAAACCCCUCCCGUGAACCUUCAUCCUCCCGGAAAGUUGUAGUGAUUCAGAGACCCCUGGCUACGUGCGAACAUUGGAACAGUUACAAUCGAGCGGUAGUUCUAUAGGCAAUGUUUCCCCAAGCAGUCAGUGUCGGAAAGUGUCAUUGAUUGUGCAAGGAUAGCGCUUCUACGAUUCCUGUAGACCGUACACUCGGGCAGGAGCUUUGCCAAAGGGUCCCCAUGCCCCCUAAUAACCCCACAGUUUAAUGUGAAGCUCAAUGUAAUACAUUGGGUAAAAAAACCGAACAACUGUUAACAAUGGAUAUCUUGGUUCUC
This 380-nucleotide unclassified non-coding RNA is filed under the name fungal sp. RNAcentral describes it as "partial internal transcribed spacer region". The stretch from base 1 to 46 matches the Rfam family "Eukaryotic small subunit ribosomal RNA", at positions 1786 to 1831 of the family's 1831-position model. Lineage: Eukaryota; Fungi. The record is from RNAcentral.